Molecule: long non-coding RNA, 2573 nt
Filed under: Sus scrofa (pig)
Lineage: Eukaryota; Metazoa; Chordata; Mammalia; Artiodactyla; Suidae
Description: lncRNA (ENSSSCG00030050796.1)
Source: RNAcentral
AGCUCUGUCUUCACAACUGUGUGUCAUUUUGAGCCUGGUCAGGAGGCCCAGUAGUCAGAGAGUUUGACAGGCUGUCUGGGGUCUGUUUCUUGAUUCUCCAGGAGCCGAACUCUGGACCCAGAAAUACUUGGUUGAAUCUUGGCCUGCAGUUUUCAAGAAUCAGAAAGCUUCCUGAGAGAUGCCAGGCAAAAGUGAACAUUCAUCUCUCCUUGUCAAGCAAGCAUCCUGUGCAAGCCUUUGAGAGGGAUCGAUAUUCAGGCAUUGCUGCCAGGGAACAGCUGGCUCUUUAGACAGUUAUUCCAGAAUCCCAAAUCCGGGGCCACACCUACACCAUAUGGAAGUUCCCAGGCUUGGGGAUGAAUCAGAGCUGCAGCUGCCGGCCUACACCACAGCCAGGGCAAUCAGGGAGCCAAGCUGCGUCUGUGACCUACCCCACAGCUCACGGCAAUGCUGGAUCCCCGACCCACUGAGUAAGGCCAGGGAUCUAAUCUGUGUCCUCAUGGAUGCUAGUCAGAUUCAUUCCCACUGCACCACAAUAAGAACUCCUCCUAUAUAUGGUUUCAGAACCAAAGAGCUUGGCACCCAGAGCAGAGCACAGGUAGGCUUGUGGAUGUCCUGACAGGAGACCCUGAUACCAGACCAGCCCUGACGGCUCCCUUAAACCAAAGCCUCCUUCCACUCCCCACAAGGCUCUCAUCCUUUUCCUCCCUCGGAUCCACCUGAGGGCAUGCAUUCUUUGCCAAAGGUGCUCCUCCUUUAUCCCUUGCCUUCUUUGUGCCUGGGUUCCCUCUGGGGGCUGUGGGGCCAGCCAUUGAUGUUUAUGCUGGUCCAGCCCAGGCUGGCUCUGCAGGGAAGAGAAAACCCUACCUCUGGGAACUGUCCUGAGUCACUCUUCCAUGGGACCCAUUCCCAGAGGUGGUCUCUACCCUAUUCACACAGCUCUCUGGCCCCCAUCACAGGGAGGAGCAUGCCAGAACAACCUGCACACUACCAUGGCAGCACAUAGUCUCCAGGAUGCCCUUCAGCCUGGCCUUGACAACUCUCUGCAGCAUCUGGCUCAGCCAUGCACCUCCCAGGCCCCACAGUGGUGGGGCCAGGGGCCCAAGCUGUCCUUGCCAGGGGACAGCCCAGGCAAGGGGUGAUUCUGCAGCCUGCACAUGCAAAUUAAGAGACAUGCCCUCUCCUGGACCUGCAGCACCAGCAUCAGCCCUCCAAGCCUCAUCAAGACUCCUAGACAAACUCUCUUCAGACACAGACAUUCUGUGCAGGCCCUUUCCUGAAAAUGGACUCACGGGAAGAGGAACUUGUGGGAGGCAUGGAAACAUCCCUCAGUGAGGUAGUCUUCCAGGCCCUUCUCGCCACUCUGAAAAGCUCACCGGGCCCUCAGGCUCAGAAGGACAAAGGAGAACCUUCCCUUGAGCCUCUUUCUGACCUUCUACCCUGGGAUACAAAGCCAUGGGUGACAAAAAGGAGAAGGAACAAGCCACGCUCAUAGUGUCCGACAGCCAAACCAAGGCAAGAAGACUGUGGGUGCGACUUCCAUGCUCCAUGAACAUUGUCAACUUAAUGAAGGGUAUUUUCUGAGUGAUUAAGUGUGAGAUUUGGGGUUGGUGUGGUUUGUUUCCUUGUGGUGCUGGUAUUUGUUUAUUUGGACUGCUUCUAGCUUUUUCCAUUGGAAAAGGCAAAAGUCUACUGUUGCCAUGGCAAAAAGCAACAUCGAGAAGUUCAGAGGAGGGAGGAGGAACCCGCUAAGGGUAGUCUCCAGAUCUGUCUUUCAAACAUUAAAGCAUAAUGUCCACAUUCCUUUCGGGAGGUUUUCUUGGAGGCAGGGUUUGUUUGUUUGUUUGUUUUCUUUUUGUCUUUUCUGGGGCCGCACCCGCAGCAUAUGGAGGUUCCCAGGCUAGGGGUCUAAUCGGAGCUUUAGCCGCUGGCCUGCACUAGAGCCCCAGCAAUGCAGCAUCCAAGCCACAUCUGUGACCUACACCACAGCUCAUGGCAACGCUGGAUCCUUAACCCACUGAGCAAGGCCAGGGAUCAAACCCACAACCUUGUGGUUCCUAGUCGGAUUUUUUAACCACUGAGCCAUGACAGGAACUCCAGGGGCAGAUUUUUUUGAGAAUGCAUGGUUUUGACCUGGGAUGCAUUUUCCUAAACCGGUAGGCAUAUGUCCUUGAAAUUCCCUAGGGGAACCAUGACCUGAAUUGACUGGGGAGAUGGAUGCAGGCCAUGGAAGACACCUAGACCUCUCCAAAGCAUUUGGAGUGGCAUCCCAGGGAGAUAUGCUGAUCAAGGGUACAGCUUUUGGGGUAACCAGGUAUUGUCCACACCUUUGGGCAACAUAGGUGGCAGGACCCUGUGCAUGGCACUAUGGAAACCAUUUGUCGUUUUUAAAUGCUGGCAGGGAAACUACGUCUCUUGUGGUUGCCCAAGACAAGCAUGGGAAAAAGUAACAAGUAGUUCUCAGGCUAAUCUGUCUUGGUGGAAACUAUAGUAUGCAACUGAAUUGGGAUGUUUCAAGAUACUCUAAGAUCAAAUGUAAUGUGUCUGAAGUAUGAUUAAAGAUUUUGAGCAAA